This 424-nucleotide ribosomal RNA is filed under the name Verrucomicrobiota bacterium. Its description in RNAcentral is "Verrucomicrobia bacterium partial 16S ribosomal RNA". It matches the Rfam family "Bacterial small subunit ribosomal RNA", at positions 355 to 776 of the family's 1533-position model. Lineage: Bacteria; Pseudomonadati; Verrucomicrobiota. The record is from RNAcentral.
UGAGGAAUAUUGGUCAAUGGGCGAGAGCCUGAACCAGCCAAGUAGCGUGCAGGAUGACGGCCCUAUGGGUUGUAAACUGCUUUUAUGUGGGGAUAAAGUGCGUGAAGUGUCAUGCAUUGCAGGUACCACAUGAAUAAGGACCGGCUAAUUCCGUGCCAGCAGCCGCGGUAAUACGGAAGGUCCGGGCGUUAUCCGGAUUUAUUGGGUUUAAAGGGAGCGUAGGCUGUCUAUUAAGCGUGUUGUGAAAUUUACCGGCUCAACCGGUGGCUUGCAGCGCGAACUGGUCGACUUGAGUAUGCAGGAAGUAGGCGGAAUUCAUGGUGUAGCGGUGAAAUGCUUAGAUAUCAUGACGAACUCCGAUUGCGCAGGCAGCUUACUGUAGCAUAACUGACGCUGAUGCUCGAAAGUGCGGGUAUCAAACAGG